GAAGGUGGCCUGUGAGGGUUGCUGGAGGUAUCAGAAGUGCGAAUGCUGACAUAAGUAACGAUAAAGCGGGUGAAAAGCCCGCUCGCCGGAAGACCAAGGGUUCCUGUCCAACGUUAAUCGGGGCAGGGUGAGUCGACCCCUAAGGCGAGGCCGAAAGGCGUAGUCGAUGGGAAACGGGUUAAUAUUCCCGUACUUGGUGUUACUGCGAAGGGGGGACGGAGAAGGCUAUGUUGGCCGGGCGACGGUUGUCCCGGUUUAAGCGUGUAGGUGUGUGUUCCAGGUAAAUCCGGUUCACUUUAACACUGAGGCGUGACGACGAGGCACUACGGUGCUGAAGCAACAAAUGCCCUGCUUCCAGGAAAAGCCUCUAAGCAUCAGGUAACAUCAAAUCGUACCCCAAACCGACACAGGUGGUCAGGUAGAGAAUACCAAGGCGCUUGAGAGAACUCGGGUGAAGGAACUAGGCAAAAUGGUGCCGUAACUUCGGGAGAAGGCACGCUGACAUGUAGGUGAAGUGAUUUACUCAUGGAGCUGAAGUCAGUCGAAGAUACCAGCUGGCUGCAACUGUUUAUUAAAAACACAGCACUGUGCAAACACGAAAGUGGACGUAUACGGUGUGACGCCUGCCCGGUGCCGGAAGGUUAAUUGAUGGGGUCAGCGCAAGCGAAGCUCCUGAUCGAAGCCCCGGUAAACGGCGGCCGUAACUAUAACGGUCCUAAGGUAGCGAAAUUCCUUGUCGGGUAAGUUCCGACCUGCACGAAUGGCGUAAUGAUGGCCAGGCUGUCUCCACCCGAGACUCAGUGAAAUUGAACUCGCUGUGAAGAUGCAGUGUACCCGCGGCAAGACGGAAAGACCCCGUGAACCUUUACUAUAGCUUGACACUGAACAUUGAGCCUUGAUGUGUAGGAUAGGUGGGAGGCUUUGAAGUGUGGACGCCAGUCUGCAUGGAGCCGACCUUGAAAUACCACCCUUUAAUGUUUGAUGUUCUAACGUGGACCCGUGAUCCGGGUUGCGGACAGUGUCUGGUGGGUAGUUUGACUGGGGCGGUCUCCUCCUAAAGAGUAACGGAGGAGCACGAAGGUUGGCUAAUCCUGGUCGGACAUCAGGAGGUUAGUGCAAUGGCAUAAGCCAGCUUGACUGCGAGCGUGACGGCGCGAGCAGGUGCGAAAGCAGGUCAUAGUGAUCCGGUGGUUCUGAAUGGAAGGGCCAUCGCUCAACGGAUAAAAGGUACUCCGGGGAUAACAGGCUGAUACCGCCCAAGAGUUCAUAUCGACGGCGGUGUUUGGCACCUCGAUGUCGGCUCAUCACAUCCUGGGGCUGAAGUAGGUCCCAAGGGUAUGGCUGUUCGCCAUUUAAAGUGGUACGCGAGCUGGGUUUAGAACGUCGUGAGACAGUUCGGUCCCUAUCUGCCGUGGGCG
RNAcentral lists this ribosomal RNA (1418 nucleotides) under Salmonella enterica. RNAcentral describes it as "bacterial LSU rRNA". It matches the Rfam family "Bacterial large subunit ribosomal RNA", at positions 1252 to 2653 of the family's 2925-position model. Lineage: Bacteria; Pseudomonadati; Pseudomonadota; Gammaproteobacteria; Enterobacterales; Enterobacteriaceae. The record is from RNAcentral.